GAUGAACGCUGGCGGCGUGCCUAAUACAUGCAAGUCGAGCGAACGGACGAGAAGCUUGCUUCUCUGAUGUUAGCGGCGGACGGGUGAGUAACACGUGGAUAACCUACCUAUAAGACUGGGAUAACUUCGGGAAACCGGAGCUAAUACCGGAUAAUAUUUUGAACCGCAUGGUUCAAAAGUGAAAGACGGUCUUGCUGUCACUUAUAGAUGGAUCCGCGCUGCAUUAGCUAGUUGGUAAGGUAACGGCUUACCAAGGCAACGAUGCAUAGCCGACCUGAGAGGUUGAUCGGCCACACUGGACCGGAGACACGGUCCAGGCUCCUACGGGAGGCAGCAGUGGGGAAUCUUCCGCAAUGGGCGAAAGCCUGACGGGGCAACGCCGCGUGAGUGAUGAGGGUUUUCGGUUCGUAAAACUCGGUUAUUAGGGAAGAACAUAUGUGUAAUUAACUGUGCCCAUCUUGACGUUACCUAACCAGAAAGCCCCGGCUAACUACGU
This 496-nucleotide ribosomal RNA is filed under the name uncultured bacterium. RNAcentral's name for it is "partial 16S ribosomal RNA". It matches the Rfam family "Bacterial small subunit ribosomal RNA", at positions 28 to 506 of the family's 1533-position model. The record is from RNAcentral.